This 253-nucleotide ribosomal RNA is filed under the name uncultured bacterium. RNAcentral's name for it is "partial 16S ribosomal RNA". It matches the Rfam family "Bacterial small subunit ribosomal RNA", at positions 794 to 1044 of the family's 1533-position model. The record is from RNAcentral.
UCCUAGCUGUAAACGAUGGAUACUAGGUGUGGGUGGCAUUGACCCCAUCCGUGCCGUAGCUAACGCGAUAAGUAUCCCGCCUGGGGACUACGGCCGCAAGGUUAAAACUCAAAGGAAUUGACGGGGGCCCGCACAAGCAGCGGAGCGUGUGGUUUAAUUCGAUGCUACACGAAGAACCUUACCAGGGCUUGACAUGCUGGUGGUACGGAUCCGAAAGGGCGAGGACCCGCAAGGGAGCCAGCACAGGUGCUGC